GGAGGAGUGGCCUGAACUUCCCAAGGCUGUGUCGGUGGAGGUGGGGGAUUGGCCUGGAGUGCCCAAGGCUGUGGAGGAGGUCCCUGUGGAGCGUCCCCGCAGACGCAUUGUCUUCAAG
Long non-coding RNA from Solea solea (common sole), 118 nucleotides. RefSeq lists it as uncharacterized. Lineage: Eukaryota; Metazoa; Chordata; Actinopteri; Pleuronectiformes; Soleidae. The transcript is spliced from 3 exons. The record is from RefSeq and is a predicted model, not a curated record.